RNAcentral lists this long non-coding RNA (1214 nucleotides) under Homo sapiens (human). RNAcentral describes it as "PKD1P6-NPIPP1 readthrough". Lineage: Eukaryota; Metazoa; Chordata; Mammalia; Primates; Hominidae. The record is from RNAcentral.
CCAGUGCUGGGAUUACAGGCGUGAGCCACCGCGCCUGGCCAAAAUAUAUAACCUUAAGUGUUAUCAAUACUCUGGCUGACCAUCGUCAUCGUGGGACUGACUUUGGUGGAAGUCCUUGGUUACUUAUCAUUACUGUGUUUCUGAGAAGUUAUAAAUUUGCCAUCUCCCUCUGCACAACUUACCUUUGGGUUAUCAAUACUCUGGCUGACCAUCGUCAUCGUGGGACUGACUUUGGUGGAAGUCCUUGGUUACUUAUCAUUACUGUGUUUCUGAGAAGUUAUAAAUUUGCCAUCUCCCUCUGCACAACUUACCUUUGUGUGUCUUUCCUGAAGACUAUCUUCCCGUCUCAAAAUGGACAUGAUGGAUCCACGGAUGUACAGCAGAGAGCCAGGAGGUCCAACCGCCGUAGACAGGAAGGAAUUAAAAUUGUCCUGGAAGACAUCUUUACUUUAUGGAGACAGGUGGAAACCAAGGUUCGAGCUAAAAUCCGUAAGAUGAAGGUGACAACAAAAGUCAACCGUCAUGACAAAAUCAAUGGAAAGAGGAAGACCGCCAAAGAACAUCUGAGGAAACUAAGCAUGAAAGAACGUGAGCACGGAGAAAAGGAGAGGCAGGUGUCAGAGGCAGAGGAAAAUGGGAAAUUGGAUAUGAAAGAAAUACACACCUACAUGGAAAUGUUUCAACGUGCGCAAGCGUUGCGGCGGCGGGCAGAGGACUACUACAGAUGCAAAAUCACCCCUUCUGCAAGAAAGCCUCUUUGCAACCGGGUCAGAAUGGCGGCAGCGGAGCAUCGUCAUUCUUCAGGAUUGCCCUGCUGGCCCUACCUCACAGCUGAAACUUUAAAAAACAGGAUGGGCCACCAGCCACCUCCUCCAACUCAACAACAUUCUAUAACUGAUAACUCCCUGAGCCUCAAGACACCUGCGGAGUGUCUGCUCUAUCCCCUUCCACCCUCAGCGGAUGAUAAUCUCAAGACACCUCCGAGUGUCUGCUCACUCCCCUUCCACCCUCAGCUCCACCCUCAGCGGAUGAUAAUCUCAAGACACCUCCCGAGUGUGUCUGCUCACUCCCCUUCCACCCUCAGCUCCACCCUCAGCGGAUGAUAAUCUCAAGACACCUCCCAAGUGUGUCUGCUCACUCCCCUUCCACCCUCAGUGGAUGAUAAUCUGAAGAAACUAACGAAGAAUAAAUAAAUAAUAUAAAAAUAAAAUGAA